UGGAUAGUGGCUUCAUGAUGAUGGAGGGA
This 29-nucleotide non-coding RNA is filed under the name Mus musculus (house mouse). The record is from RNAcentral. Lineage: Eukaryota; Metazoa; Chordata; Mammalia; Rodentia; Muridae.